RNAcentral lists this transfer RNA (62 nucleotides) under Callitettix biformis. RNAcentral's name for it is "tRNA-Ala". Lineage: Eukaryota; Metazoa; Arthropoda; Insecta; Hemiptera; Cercopidae. The record is from RNAcentral.
AGGAUUAUAUUUAAUAAUAAUAACUGAUCUGCAAUCAGUAGGUGCUAAACAAGCUAAUCUUA